CCGGCCGCCUCUAGGGAGGAGCUUCUGGGCGGCAAAGCGGCUGAAGGAGUGGCGUUACGAUACGUUUCACUCGCUGUUGCAGAAAUCUUGAGAUACUAACGUUUUCUGCCUUACUCACAGUCUUAAAUACUUUGGUUUAUUGUUGUGGUUUCUUGCCCUUUGUUCUCUGGGAUGUUAAUGCUAUUUCUUCAGACGAACCAAACAGUUUUAGGGAACUUACGCCACGUUCUUGCCUUCUUUGAGGGGACGCCUCCGUGAUUUACGUAGCCAGAUUGCGCUAUUUGACUCAAUUUGGCUGAAAGCCUUUAGACGUCUUUGUAUUCUUGGCGCCCGGAGACAAUUCCACUUACACAGUCCAUUAAGCACUUGUUGGAACAGUUUCAAUUUGAGAAAUUUUGCAAAAGAUUUUGGUUUUAACAGCAUGUGGCAAAAUCUCAAAUUUAUUUUCCAUACGUUUAACAUAGGUUUUUUUUUUUUUUUUUUGAGUCUCUCAUAACUCUUGGACAUUUCUUUUAUUUUCCACUAAUACAAAUUUUUUUAAAAUUUUAAUCUCUCAAAACUCUUGGCCUAACUCUUGUUUGUUUCCUAGUUGUCCAGUGAUAAAUGUGGCUUCAACAAUGCCAGGGUAGACUCUGCAGUUUGCGAUCGUUGUACCUAUAUUUCUAGGCAUACUCCGUUUCCACGGAUCUUGUCACCAGAGCACCCUGCUUUAAGAGGGAGAAAAAUCUAUCAAAGUAUAGCAAUAGUGUGUAUUCUUCUAAGAAGGUCUCUCAGUCAUGUGCGGCUCUUUGUGACCCCAUGAUCUGCAGCACACCAGGCUCCUCUGUCCAUGGGGAUUCUUCAAGCAAGAA
Odocoileus virginianus texanus is the source of this 851-nucleotide non-coding RNA. The record is from RefSeq and is a predicted model, not a curated record. NCBI's taxonomy places the organism in Eukaryota, Metazoa, Chordata, Mammalia, Artiodactyla, Cervidae.